This 500-nucleotide ribosomal RNA is filed under the name uncultured bacterium. Its description in RNAcentral is "partial 16S ribosomal RNA". It matches the Rfam family "Bacterial small subunit ribosomal RNA", at positions 30 to 523 of the family's 1533-position model. The record is from RNAcentral.
AUUGAACGCUGGCGGAAUGCUUUACACAUGCAAGUCGAACGGCAGCACGGACUUCGGUCUGGUGGCGAGUGGCGAACGGGUGAGUAAUGUAUCGGAACGUGCCCAGUCGUGGGGGAUAACGUAGUGAAAAUUACGCUAAUACCGCAUACGAUCUAUGGAUGAAAGCGGGGGAUCGCAAGACCUCGCGCGAUUGGAGCGGCCGAUAUCAGAUUAGGUAGUUGGUGGGGUAAAGGCCCACCAAGCCAACGAUCUGUAGCUGGUCUGAGAGGACCACCAGCCACACUGGAACGGAGACACGGUCCAGACUCCUACGGGAGGCAGCAGUGGGGAAUUUUGGACAAUGGGCGAAAGCCGGUUCCAGCCAUUCCGCGUGGAGGAUGAAGGCCCUCGGUUUGUAAACUGCUUCUGUACAGAACGGAAAGGUUUCUACUAAUACUAGGAGCUCAUGACGGUACUGUAAGAAUAAGCACCGGCUAACUACGUGCCAGCCGCCGCCGUAA